Molecule: ribosomal RNA, 253 nt
Filed under: uncultured bacterium
Lineage: Bacteria
Description: partial 16S ribosomal RNA
Rfam family: Bacterial small subunit ribosomal RNA
Source: RNAcentral
UACGUAGGGGUCGAGCGUUGUCCGGAGUUACUGGGCGUAAAGCGCGCGCAGGCGGCGCGAUAAGACCGGCGUGAAAGCCCCCGGCUCAACCGGGGAGGGUCGUUGGUGACUGUCGCGCUUGAAGGCAGCAGGGGUGAGUGGAAUUCCCGGUGUAGUGGUGAAAUGCGUAGAUAUUGCUCGGAAGGCCAGAGCCGAAGGGGCCCUACUGGUACGUAACUGACACUGAGGCACGAAAGCGUGGGGAGCAAACAGG